AUUUGAGUAUCAUUUUAUUGUUCCAAUAUUUUCCGUUGUAUGAUGAUCCUUCACAGACCUGUUCUGAAUAUUUUUGAGGAGAAAAUAAAUAAAUUUCUGAUCAAAUUAUGAAAUUUGACAUUUCUGUGAUGUGCUUCAACGUAUUUAACGUUUUUUAUUAUUAUUUACAGGUAUCUUCCCUCGUUCAUCACUUGGUCAUUCAUCAGGUAUUUUCCCCACAACGGAUCCAUAUUGCUAAUGCAUCAGGUGUCGACUGACUGAAGCUGCUGGAUCAUUUUGUCCACAUAAGAAAAUGCUUCAUCGCACACGACGCAUUCGCAGCAGCACGUCUAAUCGAUUUUUUUACAUUAAAGGCGCUGUAUUCGAGUCUGCGAACUGCGAAGCUAAAUUUGAAAGGAGCAUGAAAUGUUAGGAUGUAUGUGAAAUAAAUAAAUAAAU
Long non-coding RNA from Cydia pomonella (codling moth), 438 nucleotides. RefSeq lists it as uncharacterized. The record is from RefSeq and is a predicted model, not a curated record. The transcript has 5 exons. Lineage: Eukaryota; Metazoa; Arthropoda; Insecta; Lepidoptera; Tortricidae.